CAGCUACAAGGCUCACGGCGAUACCUUGGCACAAAGGCAUGAAGGACGGGUAACUUGCUUAAGUCCGGGACUGAACGCUUGAUCCGAAUU
Molecule: ribosomal RNA, 90 nt
Filed under: uncultured Synechococcus sp.
Lineage: Bacteria; Bacillati; Cyanobacteriota; Cyanophyceae; Synechococcales; Synechococcaceae
Description: partial 23S ribosomal RNA
Source: RNAcentral